CUCUAUUUUACUGCUUCCCACAGCAGACAGGCAGCCACAGUCUCCUCCUCUGAAGGGGCCCUGAGGAGGGGGUCCGAUCCCCAGUAACCCUGCCGUGAGGUGAAGUCCUCUGCCACACUGGACUGUGCCUGAAGCAAUAGGACCAAGUGACCAUGGACUGAGACCUUGGAAAUACUGAGCCGAAAGACACCUUUCCUUCUUUCAGGUUGAUUCUCUCAGGCUGAAGAAUCAUCAUACUGUUUUUCUCAACAGCUGCAGCAUUUGACAUUUCUCUCAGUAAUAUCUGAGAGUUCCAGCCUUUCCACAUCCUUGCCAACACAUGUUAUUGUUCAUUUUUUAAAGAGCUAUCUAACCUGAAACUGUACCCAUCAAACGGACAGUUCCACAAUUCUCCGCACUUCUUUCUCUCUGAAUGUACUGGUUUGCUUCUUGCUUCUUUUGUUUAAUAUGACUUUGUGGUGGUUGAACUUCAUUGUGUCAGUUUGGUUAGCUUGGGAGUCACCGAGGUAAUUGGUGGAGUACCCUUCUGGGUGUGUCUUGG
This is a long non-coding RNA of Heterocephalus glaber (naked mole-rat), 541 nucleotides long. Lineage: Eukaryota; Metazoa; Chordata; Mammalia; Rodentia; Bathyergidae. The record is from Ensembl.